CAGAAUCCCUGAAAUUCUCUACCCUGGAGUGGUGAGGAGGCUGAGUCAUUGGGAGUAUUUAAGCAGACUCAUGGACUAAACCAGAUCAAAUCUGGACACAACCCUCCCCACCAUUAAAAGCAUCUACAUCAGAUCUCAUAAUGAAGGACAGUGAGUUGAGCCUGAUCUUGGACAUAUAAUGGAAUCUGUCUGAAGCUGAAAGCUGACACCAUUACUAAAGCAAAGCUGUGGCAAAGGAUGUAACCAUGACAACUUUGUCUCUCUCUGUAUGAUAUACUUUAAAGAGCAAGGCAGAAGUACUGUGACUGCAGCUGUUGAAAUGUUGUAUAACUUCCAGACUUGGUAUUAUUAAAGGAUCUAAUAAUUUGAAAUGGUGAACAUCUAAUAAAUUACAAAUAUUUAGUUUGA
Long non-coding RNA from Amblyraja radiata (thorny skate), 408 nucleotides. RefSeq lists it as uncharacterized. NCBI's taxonomy places the organism in Eukaryota, Metazoa, Chordata, Chondrichthyes, Rajiformes, Rajidae. The record is from RefSeq and is a predicted model, not a curated record. The transcript is spliced from 3 exons.